GGCUAGUGAUGAUUACCUAAGGAAGUCAUGCACCACUCUCAUGAUUUUAAUCAGUCUGCUGAUAAAUUCUUUAUACCCAAAUUCUUAUGAAUCU
Molecule: small nucleolar RNA, 94 nt
Organism: Malus domestica (apple)
Lineage: Eukaryota; Viridiplantae; Streptophyta; Magnoliopsida; Rosales; Rosaceae
Product: small nucleolar RNA Z221/R21b
Source: RefSeq, a predicted model, not a curated record